GUCUCCAUGUUUGCAAGAGAGAGAAUUCUAUCUUCCAUCUGUUUACACUCCCGCUAUCUUACAGCCCCUCACACCCCCCACCUAACAUUCGCAUUGCAAGAAUAAUGGUGAGCAAUAUUGGUGCUGUGUAGUUGUACAAUUUUGAGCUGCAAGCCAUUUCAGACGAGGAAAACAAAGACAUACAUGGAUCUAGUCGUCUACAAGUUGAUUUAUCAGAAUAAAGAUGAGCAGAUUGAGCAGAGAUUGUGGCCCGUCUCUUGUAGCUUUUUGUCUACUCCCCCUUUACAACUAUUAAAAUAAGGAAAUCCUCAGAAACACAAUUUUAACCUUAAUUUUCUUUAUAUAUGCUAUAGAUAAGAAAAUGAAAAAAAAAAAAACACCAAAAACAGGAUUUUCAUGGGAGUGGGUCUUUAAUGCUGAGGUUUUUUUUACAGUAUCAUCGAAAAGAAACCCAUCUUCAGAAAACAACCUGAUCUCCUCGCUGUGGCUCCCGUUGGGUCUUUCUCUUCUAGCUGUGGUCAUCCUGAUGGUUCUAUGUGUGGUCAUCAGAAGAGUGUGCCUCAGAAACAGAGUGUGAGUGAAGAUGUGAAAAGAUUCCAGCCAAAAUAAGAACCCAUCUAUGUGAACACCAACUUGAAGCCCUCCCCUCGGUCUGCGCCCCAGCGUGAUCAGCUGAAGUUGGCCGAGCCCUAUCAGAACAUGCGUACUCCUAGCCCCACCAGGAGUAACAAAGUGAGGACAGACAGACCCAGACCCUGACCAAACUGGGGGUGAACAGGAUAAUCCUCCCUCCCUGUCCUUAUUUCAUCUGCUUCCAUCUGUUUCACUUUCUUUUACUUUAUUUUUUGUAAAGAUAUAUAUAUAUACACAUCAAAUAUAAUGUAAAAGCAGUUUUUAUAAAAGAUAUUUAAAAUGUUACAUUCAGGCUCCUCAGUUUUUAUCAUGUGCCACUAGAUGGCGAUUGAUGUUGCUUUUAGAAAGCAUUUUGCUUGUAAACCUCACAAGUACUUUUUUUUUAAUUUUGCAACUGUUUAA
Molecule: long non-coding RNA, 1035 nt
Organism: Oryzias melastigma (Indian medaka)
Lineage: Eukaryota; Metazoa; Chordata; Actinopteri; Beloniformes; Adrianichthyidae
Exons: 3
Source: RefSeq, a predicted model, not a curated record